This 377-nucleotide ribosomal RNA is filed under the name uncultured bacterium. Its description in RNAcentral is "bacterial SSU rRNA". It matches the Rfam family "Bacterial small subunit ribosomal RNA", at positions 523 to 898 of the family's 1533-position model. The record is from RNAcentral.
CUACGUAGGUGGCGAGCGUUAUCCGGAAUUACUGGGUGUAAAGGGCGUGUAGGCGGGGAUGCAAGUCAGAUGUGAAAUUCCGGGGCUCAACCUCGGCACUGCAUCUGAAACUGUGUCUCUUGAGUGCUGGAGAGGAAAGUGGAAUUCCUAGUGUAGCGGUGAAAUGCGUAGAGAUUAGGAGGAACACCAGUGGCGAAGGCGACUUUCUGGACAGCAACUGACGCUGAGGCGCGAGAGCGUGGGGAGCAAACAGGAUUAGAUACCCUGGUAGUCCACGCCGUAAACGAUGGAUACUAGGUGUAGGAGGUAUCGACCCCUUCUGUGCCGUAGUUAACACAAUAAGUAUCCCACCUGGGGAGUACGGCCGCAAGGCUGAA